Homo sapiens (human) is the source of this 2776-nucleotide long non-coding RNA. RefSeq lists it as uncharacterized. Lineage: Eukaryota; Metazoa; Chordata; Mammalia; Primates; Hominidae. The transcript has 2 exons. The record is from RefSeq and is a predicted model, not a curated record.
UUUUUUUUUAAGACAGAGUCUCACUGUGUCACCCAGGCCGGAGUGCAGUGGCACGAUCUUGGCUCACUGCAACUUCUGCCUCCCAGGCUCAAGGGAUUCUCCCACCUCAGCCUCCCAAGUAGCCGGGAUUACAGGUGUGGACCACCACGCCUGGCUAGUUUUUGUAUUUUUAGUAGAGAUGGGGUUUCGCCAUGUUGGCCAGGCUGGUCCUGAACUCCUGGCCUCAAGUGAUCCUCCAGCCUCAGCCUCCCAAAGUGCUGGGAUUACAGGCAUAAGCCAUUGUACCUGGCCAGUAAAAGAUUUUCAUGCAUAAAAAUAUAUUACAUUAGUAUAAAUUCUGUAGUAGUGAUAGAAUGGAAAUACAAGUUCAAAGAGAAAAGAAAAAAUGCAAAGUUUCCAAUUGUUAAGGAAGGGCUUGUAUAUUUAUUUUGUAAAUGGAUGGUGGUAUGUACCAGAUAGUUAUAACAUUCAGAUUGGACUGGAUACAUUUUAAACAAUGAUAUGGUAGUUUUUAUUUUAAAAUGUCAGUGUUUCAGCCAGGCACAGUGGCUCACACCUGUAAUCCCAGCACUUUUAGGAGCUUGAGCUAGGCAGAUUGCCUGAUGUCAGUAGUUUGAGACCAGCCUGGGCAAUGUGGUGAAAACCCGUCUCUACUAAAAAAAAAAUACAAAAAAUUAGCUGGGUGUGGUGGCGCACGCCUGUAGUCCUAGCUGCUUGGGAGGCUGAGGCAGGAGAAUUGCUUGAACCAGGGAGGCGGAGGUUGCAGUGAGUCGAGAUCGUGCCACUGCAGUCCAGCCUGGGCAACAGAGCCAGACUCUGUCUCAAACAUCAAUAAAUAAAUAAAAUGGCAGUGUUUCCAAUGCACUUGGAAUCACAUCUCCAACUAUAUUUGAUUUAAAAAACCUUAGAUGUCAACUUUUAAAAUGGGAAAGGCAAACAUGAACAGUGUUUGAAAGCCUCUUUCUAGCACACCUGUGCACUCUGCUGGCCCCCACCAGUUGUAGGACAACCACGACUACAGUGUUAGCUGCACAUCUGCUCACGCCACUUGCAUUGGUUAAUGUAAUCAUCCUGCUGCAUUUAAAAUUACGUAAUAAACUGCAAAAAUAGAGCUGUUAAGAGAGUUAUUUCUAGGAAAACUAGUUGAAUGCUUGGGAAAGACAUACUGAGUCACUAAAUAUAAUUUGGUUAAAUUAGGUGUAGGUGUAAAAGAUGGGGGAAGACUGCUUCACAUGUUUCUUUUCCUAAGUUCUUGCUCUCCUUUAAAAGAAAAAAAAAAAACAGACAAAUAUCAAAAACCAGAAGUUGUAAUCCAGUGUUUGCCAAGGUUUCUUGGUAAGAAUUACCUGGGUCAUUUGCUAACUACACAGAUAAACAGGCAUCUUCCCCCUAGAAAUUCUGAUUCAGGAAGUCUAGGUGGGGGCCUUGGGAUCUGAUUUUCCUGGUUGUCUGUUUUGUUUUAUAAAAUAAGGGCUGGAGUCAUUCGUAUCUUCAGGGGUAUUUGGGGAACACGAGGAAGAUUAUGGAUACGACAAGAAAGGUGAGCUCCAAUCAGCAGAUCCCUACUCAAACAAAAGGCCUUUAGCUCUAUUCCAAAAAAAAAAAAAAAAGCAGGCCAAGUGUGUUGGCUCACGCCUGUAAUCCCAGCACUUCGGGAGGCUAAGGCAGGUGGAUCUCUUGAGGCCAGGAGUUUGAGACCUGUCUGACCAACAUGGUGAAAUCCCGUCUCUACUAAAAAUACAAAAAUUAGCCAGGUGUGGUGGUGCACGCCUGUAAUCCCAGCUACUCGGGAGGCUUAGGUGGGAGGACUGCUUGAGCCCGGGAGGCAAAGUUUCCAGUAAACCAAGAUUGCGCCACUGCACUCCAGCCUGGGCAACAGAGCAAGACUCUGUCUUAAAACAAAACAAAACAAAAAACAAACAAAAAGCAAAUGAAGGUAGAUUUAUGCUUUAUAUCAAAAUGUUUAAAGUAUGUAUGUGUCCUUUUCUAUUAGUCUUGUUUUCAGUGGCUUUUUGAAUGAACAGACCAACUAAGCCCUGACUGCAUGGACUAGGAGGGCUUCCCUACCCGCCCUUGACAGCACAGCCAGGGAGAGCGCUGGACUUCCCUAACACACACGGUCAACUAUCGCUUCAAAGCAGUGACCUCUUCACACCCUAGAUAGGUAGCAGGCCCAAUGUGGCCCAAAGGCUGCUGUUUGCUCACUCCUGGGUCUAGAAGAAAACAUACUAAACUGCUAACGGUAACUAUUUCUGGAUAGCAGAACUAUGGGCGAUUUCUAAUUUCCUCUUUAUAAUGUGAUAAUUUUUGCAUGUUCUCAAUUAAAUUUAAUCAUAAGCAUGUAUUAUUUAAAAAACCAAUAGCAUGUUCUUUUCUUUGUUUUUGGUGGGGCUGGGGGAGGAGGCUUUGAGAUGCCCAAGACAUGCAUGGUUUCCUAUUUUAAUACAAAUUCUUAUUCAUUGUUUCUCAGUUUUUCUAUAGGAUACCACAAAGACCUCUCAACAUACAUUUGAAGGAAAGGAAGAAAUGGAGGGAGGAGAGAAGGCGGGAAGGAAAGAAGCAAGGGAGGGAGGAAGGAAAAGAGGAGAGGGGGAAGGAAAAAAUAACAAACUCCAGUCCUGUCCUGGGGUUAGGGAAGGGCAUGACCCACCACUAGACAUAAAUCACAGUGGGCGAGCUCUCUGUCAACCUCCUCCAGAAUGGCAGGAUCCAGGUUUUCUCCAAACCACACGACGUGAGGUCGCAGCAAGCCCCCGCAGCCUGCCUCUUCACACCU